RNAcentral lists this ribosomal RNA (497 nucleotides) under uncultured bacterium. RNAcentral's name for it is "partial 16S ribosomal RNA". It matches the Rfam family "Bacterial small subunit ribosomal RNA", at positions 28 to 507 of the family's 1533-position model. The record is from RNAcentral.
GAUGAACGCUGGCGGCGUGCCUAAUACAUGCAAGUCGAGCGAACGGACGAGAAGCUUGCUUCUCUGAUGUUAGCGGCGGACGGGUGAGUAACACGUGGAUAACCUACCUAUAAGACUGGGAUAACUUCGGGAAACCGUAGCUAAUACCGGAUAAUAUUUUGAACCGCAUGGUUCAAAAGUGAAAGACGGUCUUGCUGUCACUUAUAGAUGGAUCCGCGCUGCAUUAGCUAGUUGGUAAGGUAACGGCUUACCAAGGCAACGAUGCAUAGCCGACCUGAGAGGGUGGUCGGCCACACGGGAGCUGAGACACGGUCCAGACUCCUACGGUAGGCAGCAGUAGGGAAUCUGCCGCAAUGGGCGAAAGCCUGACGGAGCAACGCCGCGUGAGUGAUGAAGGUCUUCGGAUCGUAAAACUCUGUUAUUAGGGAAGAACAUAUGUGUAAGUAACUGUGCACAGCUUGACGGUACCUAAUCAGAAAGCCACGGCUAACUACGUG